CCACAACUUAAAUGUGGAUGUACUUGUUUUGUUCCUGAAAAGUAAGUGCUUCCAUGUUUUAGUGAUGG
Molecule: microRNA precursor, 68 nt
Filed under: Apteryx owenii (little spotted kiwi)
Lineage: Eukaryota; Metazoa; Chordata; Aves; Apterygiformes; Apterygidae
Also listed under: 4 other names
Description: mir-302 microRNA precursor family
Rfam family: mir-302 microRNA precursor family
Source: Rfam by way of RNAcentral